AGAACGAACGCUGGCGGCGUGGAUAAGACAUGCAAGUCGAACGCGACUUAUCGUGUUAGCAAUAACAUGGUAAGUUGAGUGGCGAAAGGGUGCGUAACACGUGGGAAAUUACCAAGAAGUGGGGAAUAGCUCGACGAAAGUCGAAUUAAUACCGCAUAUGAUCGCAAGAUCAAAGCCGGGGACCGCAAGGCCUGGCGCUUUUUGAGAUGCCCGCGGCCCAUCAGCUAGUUGGCGAGGUAAAAGCUCACCAAGGCUAUGACGGGUAGCUGGUCUGAGAGGACGACCAGCCACACUGGAACUGAGACACGGUCCAGACACCUACGGGUGGCAGCAGUCGAGAAUUUUUCACAAU
Molecule: ribosomal RNA, 352 nt
Filed under: uncultured bacterium
Lineage: Bacteria
Description: SSU rRNA
Rfam family: Bacterial small subunit ribosomal RNA
Source: RNAcentral